Long non-coding RNA from Papilio polytes (common Mormon), 638 nucleotides. RefSeq lists it as uncharacterized. The record is from RefSeq and is a predicted model, not a curated record. NCBI's taxonomy places the organism in Eukaryota, Metazoa, Arthropoda, Insecta, Lepidoptera, Papilionidae. The transcript has 2 exons.
UUUAAGUAUGAACUAAACGAAAGUUGUCAUUUACUUAAAAUUCAAUGCAGUUGCAAAACCUAUCCAUUUUUAGAGAUCAAUGAUCUGUACUAAAACAAAACGCUUUUCAAGAAAAUGAGAGUGGAAUAUCAACAACCACAUUAAUGAAGGUAUUCCGAUGCAGUGUCACACCGGAGUGAAGCCGUACGAGUGCGGUAUCUGCGGCAAGGCGUUCGCGCAGUCCAACAGCUGCAAGCUGCACGUGCGCACCGUGCACCUCAAGCAGCCCACGCCCUACCUCAGCCGCGCGCGCCUCGACCGCCGCGCCCGCCUCGCGCACCAGCCCGGGAACCAACCUGCGAGCCAACCCGCGAACCAACCAUCGCUAUACUGACCGCACGUGACAAUAACUAGAUCAUUUACCCUAUUUUGAGUGCUCAGAUGGAUUUUUUUAUCCGAAGAUAUGUUCAUUAGGAUGAGAAUACACAUGCCAGUGAAUGGAUAGUAAGGGAGGUUUCACAAGAGGAUUUAAAAGACCAAAUAAUUACUAAACACCGCAAUUGUGCAGUGACAAUUAAUUGUAAGUUUGUGGUUUAGUCAACAUUUUAGCUCGGUAUGUCUAUUUAUGUAAGAUGUAAUUAAACCUUAUUUUUUACUAC